ACAAAUACUGCGGCCUUUGUGGGCUAAGAUCAAGCAUAGUAUCUGUUCUUAUUAGUUUAAUAUUCUAAAAAGCCUAAACAAGGCGCAAAAUCCCAGACAUGAAUCCCUUAUUGCAAGUUUAAAGAGCAUUCAAACCACAA
RNAcentral lists this small nuclear RNA (140 nucleotides) under Chelonoidis abingdonii (Abingdon island giant tortoise). RNAcentral's name for it is "U2 spliceosomal RNA (ENSCABG00000009779.1)". The record is from RNAcentral. Lineage: Eukaryota; Metazoa; Chordata; Testudines; Testudinidae.